UACGUAGGGGGCAAGCGUUGUCCGGAAUCAUUGGGCGUAAAGGGCGUGUAGGCGGUUCGGUAAGUCGGCUGUGAAAGUCCAGGGCUCAACCCUGGGAUGCCGGUCGAUACUGCCGGACUAGAGUUCGGAAGAGGCGAGUGGAAUUCCCGGUGUAGCGGUGAAAUGCGCAGAUAUCGGGAGGAACACCUAUGGCGAAGGCAGCUCGCUGGGACGUUACUGACGCUGAGACGCGAAAGCGUGGGGAGCAAACAGG
RNAcentral lists this ribosomal RNA (253 nucleotides) under uncultured bacterium. RNAcentral's name for it is "partial 16S ribosomal RNA". It matches the Rfam family "Bacterial small subunit ribosomal RNA", at positions 524 to 776 of the family's 1533-position model. The record is from RNAcentral.